RNAcentral lists this ribosomal RNA (301 nucleotides) under uncultured bacterium. RNAcentral describes it as "partial 16S ribosomal RNA". It matches the Rfam family "Bacterial small subunit ribosomal RNA", at positions 509 to 809 of the family's 1533-position model. The record is from RNAcentral.
CAGUCGCCGCGGUAAUACGUAGGGUGCGAGCGUUAAUCGGAAUUACUGGGCGUAAAGCGCGCGCAGGCGGUUAUAUAAGACAGAUGUGAAAUCCCCGGGCUCAACCUGGGACCUGCAUUCGUGACUGUAUAGCUAGAGUACGGUAGAGGGGGAUGGAAUUCCGCGUGUAGCAGUGAAAUGCGUAGAUAUGCGGAGGAACACCGAUGGCGAAGGCAAUCCCCUGGACCUGUACUGACGCUCAUGCACGAAAGCGUGGGGAGCAAACAGGAUUAGAUACCCGGGUAGUCCCUGUCUCUUAUAA